This 1810-nucleotide long non-coding RNA is filed under the name Cicer arietinum (chickpea). RNAcentral's name for it is "long non-coding RNA (CARI_LNC000449)". Lineage: Eukaryota; Viridiplantae; Streptophyta; Magnoliopsida; Fabales; Fabaceae. The record is from RNAcentral.
AAUGGUUAACAGCUUUCAACCACAAAAUUAUCAAAACUCAUAAUAUUAAUUAUGAUAUUUGAUGAUAAGGACGUAAAAGAGGAGUGUGGAUAUCAUAGCGGGAUUGGAAGCUAGUUGAGAUUGAAUGCAUGAGAUCAAAGCUCUAACAAAGUGAUAAGUCCGACCCAUUUCUAUUUUUGUUUUGUUUUAAUUCAUUUAGUUCUCGGAUGAAUGAAACUCUAAUAAUUUAAAGUACAAUAAAUAAAAUCUAAUCAUUAAUUAUUUUAUUUAAAAUUCGAAUUCAAAUUCUCCAAAAAAAAUCCACUUAUAUUCGUUGAAAAUCUGAAACAAUUUAAUUAGCCUCUCAAGCAGAAAGCACUCCUUAAAGUAUUUUUGAGUGUAUUCUCAAUUGAAAACAAUUUCCACUUAGCUUCUCUAUUCAAAACAAUAUUUCUAUAUAAGUCCUUUAUGAAAGUUUCUGAGUAUUGAAAUUUCAAAUAAUCAUGAAAUCAAUUUCCAAACUCACAUAACUUAAUAUGUUCUAAUUUUUUAUGUUAUCUAAUCAUGUUUUCAUUUUUUUCUUUCCAUAAUUGAAAUUUUAUUGAUCCAAAUCCAAACUCUACAUCACAGUAAGAAAACUCUAUCCAUCUACUAUAAAGGAUUGCGUAAUUCACACUAUCAUUUACUUACAAUUACAAUAACAUUCAUAAUUAAAUGCAUUUGCUCAUAAAAGAAUUCAUAAUUAAAUUCAUUAAUAUAAGGAAUAACUUAUGUAGUUUAAAUUAUACUAAAAAGAACAAGUAAGGUUUGUAGUUAGUGGACGGAAUCACUUUGUAUUUUUUCUUUAGAGCAAGGACCGUGCAACUAGGCGUAAACAUGUUCAAGCCAUAAUAAUAAUGAUGGUGGGUUAAGAUAUAGACAAUACUCUCUUUGCAGCUAAAAAGCAACUAAUGAGUAAUGAUCAAGGACCCUCCCAAUCUCAUCUCAUAGAGUUCUCACAUGCUCUCCAUUUAAUGUAACAUUAAUUAAUAUAUACUCCUUCCAAGUCUAAGUCUAGGAGAUUGGUGCAUAACAAAUAUUUACCGAUAAUAAUUUAAUCUUUUUAGAUUGUCAAAUUAUUUCAAAAUGUGAAUUCUCUCAACGUACAAUAUAGACUAGAAUAUUUAUCUAUUUUUAUUAUGUUUUUUUGCCACUAGGUUUUGGUUUUGAUUAUGCUCUAUUUUUUACUCUCAAAUUGAUAUUAAUUUGGUUCAAAAUUUUCUUGUUAUAUGUGGAAAUGAUUGGUAACAUCAAUGCGUAGAUGUAAUUUUAGCCAUCAACAUUUUUACUAUUGAUACUAUUUGGUAUUGUAGAAAUCAAACUCGAUUUGAAGACAAUAGUUCUAUUUUCCACACUGUUAUCAAUUGAAUUAUUGUCAAUGUAUCUUUAACAAUCACACUUUUAGUACAAUCUCCAAAUAUAUGCAGGAAUUUCAAAUUCUCAAGUCCUUUCAAGUUAGAGCCCAUCCUCAUAAUGCAUCUAUCAUCAAAGAAGUGAUAUGGACCCCCUUAAGGAGUAUUAGAUUAAAUGUAAUACUGAUGGAACAUAAUCUGGAUGUUUUGGUCCUGCUGCAUGUGGAGAUACAUUUAAGGACAACUUUGUUGUUUCCUUUUUGUUGUGAAUUUGGGGAUUGCAAUUGCACUACAUGUUGAACUUACGGAAGUUAUGGUACCUACAAGAAUGGGUGACAUUUUAUAUGGAUUGAAUUUGAUUCACAAUUGACAAAUAUGAUUUUUAGGAAUGCUAUUCCUUAGUCUAUUAUAAAUAGAUGACUUAAUUGUUUUGAGAUGGU